Molecule: ribosomal RNA, 253 nt
Filed under: uncultured bacterium
Lineage: Bacteria
Description: partial 16S ribosomal RNA
Rfam family: Bacterial small subunit ribosomal RNA
Source: RNAcentral
UACAGAGGUCUCAAGCGUUGUUCGGAAUUACUGGGCGUAAAGCGCACGUAGGCGGCUUUCUAAGUCGGGGGUGAAAUCCUGGAGCUCAACUCCAGAACUGCCUUCGAUACUGGAGAGCUUGAGUCCGGGAGAGGUGAGUGGAACUGCGAGUGUAGAGGUGAAAUUCGUAGAUAUUCGCAAGAACACCAGUGGCGAAGGCGGCUCACUGGCCCGGUACUGACGCUGAGGUGCGAAAGCGUGGGGAGCAAACAGG